AAAGAACAAUAGAUUGAAUGGCUUAUAAACAACAGAAAUGUACCUCUCACAGUUGUGGAGGCUGGCAGAAAGAGAACAGGGUGGCAGCACGGUCAGAUUCUGGCAAGGGCCCUUUUACGGUUGCAGACUGCAGUCUUCUUGCAUCCUCACAUGGCAGAAAGAUGGGAGGAGAGUUGCCUGGUACCCUUUUCAACAGCAGCGUUUUAGAUCACAGAGGCUCUGCUCUUAUGACCUGAUCACCUCCCAAAUGUCAGCAGCUCCUGAUACUAGCUCACUGAAGGUUAGGAUUUCAACAUAUGUAUUUGGAGAAAACACAAACUUUCACUCUGUUGUACCUUUCAUUGGCCACCUUGCCUUCUAUUGUGUCACUUUUCUCCCUACUGGCUGCUUCCUCAACCUACCAAAUAAGGAACUGAUCUUCACAUAA
RNAcentral lists this long non-coding RNA (427 nucleotides) under Callithrix jacchus (white-tufted-ear marmoset). Its description in RNAcentral is "lncRNA (ENSCJAG00000085755.1)". Lineage: Eukaryota; Metazoa; Chordata; Mammalia; Primates; Cebidae. The record is from RNAcentral.